RNAcentral lists this long non-coding RNA (319 nucleotides) under Ictidomys tridecemlineatus (thirteen-lined ground squirrel). RNAcentral's name for it is "lncRNA (ENSSTOG00000033731.1)". Lineage: Eukaryota; Metazoa; Chordata; Mammalia; Rodentia; Sciuridae. The record is from RNAcentral.
UCUCGGUGGGCACGGGGACCAGGAAGGCCUGUCCCCCCAGCGGCAGGUAGACCUGGGAGGCCGGUCCCUCCGCGGGCAAGGGAACCAGCGAGGCCUGUCUCCUCUGCGGGCACGGGGGACCUUGGAGCCGGACCCUCAGCGGCCACGACGAGCACCGCGGCCUGUGACUCCGGAAACACCGGGACCGUGGGGAGGCCUAUCCAUCCUUGGCAUUGGGAAAAUCUCUGCUGAGCACCUCAUCUUCCUGCAGCAUUUCUGGAUGCCUCAGACAGCGUCAUUGCCAAACCAUCCUUGCAAGGGCAAAAGCCUUGGAACUUAA